RNAcentral lists this ribosomal RNA (285 nucleotides) under Corethron hystrix. RNAcentral describes it as "partial Bacterial small subunit ribosomal RNA". It matches the Rfam family "Bacterial small subunit ribosomal RNA", at positions 41 to 345 of the family's 1533-position model. The record is from RNAcentral. Lineage: Eukaryota; Bacillariophyta; Corethrophyceae; Corethrales; Corethraceae.
GGCGUGCCUAAUACAUGCAAGUCGAGCGAACCACUUAGGUGGUGAGCGGCGAACGGGUGAGUAACACGUAGGUGAUCUGCCCAUCAGACGGGGACAACGAUUGGAAACGAUCGCUAAUACCGGAUAGGACGAAAGUUUAAAGGUGCUUCUGGCACCGCUGAUGGAUGAGCCUGCGGCGCAUUAGCUAGUUGGUAGGGUAAAGGCCUACCAAGGCGACGAUGCGUAGCCGACCUGAGAGGGUGAACGGCCACACUGGGACUGAGACACGGCCCAGACUCCUACGGG